This 225-nucleotide ribosomal RNA is filed under the name uncultured bacterium. Its description in RNAcentral is "partial 16S ribosomal RNA". It matches the Rfam family "Bacterial small subunit ribosomal RNA", at positions 524 to 746 of the family's 1533-position model. The record is from RNAcentral.
UACGUAGGGUGCAAGCGUUGUCCGGAAUUAUUGGGCGUAAAGAGCUCGUAGGCGGUCUGUCGCGUCUGCUGUGAAAACUCAGGGCUUAACCCUGAGCUUGCAGUGGGUACGGGCAGACUAGAGUGCGGUAGGGGAGACUGGAAUUCCUGGUGUAGCGGUGAAAUGCGCAGAUAUCAGGAGGAACACCGGUGGCGGAAGGCGGGUCUCUGGGCCGUAACUGGACGC